UUUCAUUCUGUUCGGUUUGAAGUUUUUAAGAGUGGAAUAGUUUCAUUGUUAAACUAAUUAAGUGUUUAUUUCGUCAUAAAGAAGUCGUUACUAUUGAUUGUUCAUACCGUUGUUGCUUAGCCGAUAUGUUUAGAUGGAUGAAUUUGUUAAAAAGCUGAAUUUUAAAGCUUGAAAGUAUGGUUGCACGCCAACUGUUUGUGAAAAUGUCUCUAUGAACGUUACAUCGAAUUUUGCUUGUAUACGUUCUGUUAUCAUUCAUUACUUAAUUGGAUGAGUUUGCUAAUUUGUGAUACAAUGGCUAGUUUGCAAGUCUGAUUGUGUUGGCUCAGUAAGUGUUUACAUAAUUUCCGCGUAGAGAUGUGGGGUGUGAAUUAGUUGACGUUCAUUCAGAUCGAUCGGAUCUUGUAGAAAUGGAUGAUAAUCAGAUGAGUUCUUUGAUGUUCAUGAAUCUUUUGGUGACAUUCAAUUUGAAAAUGUAAAUUGAAAGGAAAUUCAUCUUUCUAGGAAGAUUACUGCUAGGAGCACAAUGAUGCAAACCAUUGUUGUUGACUUGGUGAGAUCAGAUAAAAGGGAAGAUGAACUUGCUUCCCGACUAUGGAGCAUUGUGCAGGUCAGUAUGAAGGGAAACGUGAUUUAUCAUGGGUUAGCUGGAUUUACCAGACGUACUUCAAUGCACCCGAUGGCGAUUAGCCAUUGGCGCUGGACAUGAACAAGGGAUCGAGUUUAGGCCGAAGGCAACUUCAGAAUGGGGAAGAAGGGGAGCUCGAGAUGACCAUGAUGGAGGUGAAAGGAGGAAAUUCGAAGGGUGGUAUGAUCGUUCAAGGGAUUGAGAUUAGGCCAAAGGCAAGUUAGAUGAUAAAUCUUCUAUUGACAAUAAGUGUGAUGCUUUUAGUUUUGUACGUAAGAAUCGAUGUUUUAUACAAAUUAUCUUCUGUUCUAUUUCAUCAAUUAGCAGAGCACAUGUUUAUUUGCAACUUUCUUUAUAUGAUCUGUUUUUUACAUA
This is a long non-coding RNA of Erigeron canadensis, 1003 nucleotides long. RefSeq lists it as uncharacterized. The record is from RefSeq and is a predicted model, not a curated record. The transcript is spliced from 4 exons. NCBI's taxonomy places the organism in Eukaryota, Viridiplantae, Streptophyta, Magnoliopsida, Asterales, Asteraceae.